RNAcentral lists this ribosomal RNA (605 nucleotides) under Saccharomyces cerevisiae (brewer's yeast). Its description in RNAcentral is "partial 26S ribosomal RNA". It matches the Rfam family "Eukaryotic large subunit ribosomal RNA", at positions 37 to 656 of the family's 3401-position model. Lineage: Eukaryota; Fungi; Ascomycota; Saccharomycetes; Saccharomycetales; Saccharomycetaceae. The record is from RNAcentral.
UGCAUAUCAAUAAGCGGAGGAAAAGAAACCAACCGGGAUUGCCUUAGUAACGGCGAGUGAAGCGGCAAAAGCUCAAAUUUGAAAUCUGGUACCUUCGGUGCCCGAGUUGUAAUUUGGAGAGGGCAACUUUGGGGCCGUUCCUUGUCUAUGUUCCUUGGAACAGGACGUCAUAGAGGGUGAGAAUCCCGUGUGGCGAGGAGUGCGGUUCUUUGUAAAGUGCCUUCGAAGAGUCGAGUUGUUUGGGAAUGCAGCUCUAAGUGGGUGGUAAAUUCCAUCUAAAGCUAAAUAUUGGCGAGAGACCGAUAGCGAACAAGUACAGUGAUGGAAAGAUGAAAAGAACUUUGAAAAGAGAGUGAAAAAGUACGUGAAAUUGUUGAAAGGGAAGGGCAUUUGAUCAGACAUGGUGUUUUGUGCCCUCUGCUCCUUGUGGGUAGGGGAAUCUCGCAUUUCACUGGGCCAGCAUCAGUUUUGGUGGCAGGAUAAAUCCAUAGGAAUGUAGCUUGCCUCGGUAAGUAUUAUAGCCUGUGGGAAUACUGCCAGCUGGGACUGAGGACUGCGACGUAAGUCAAGGAUGCUGGCAUAAUGGUUAUAUGCCGCCCGUCUUG